Molecule: ribosomal RNA, 484 nt
Filed under: uncultured bacterium
Lineage: Bacteria
Description: partial 16S ribosomal RNA
Rfam family: Bacterial small subunit ribosomal RNA
Source: RNAcentral
AUUGAACGCUGGCGGCAGGCCUAACACAUGCAAGUCGAGCGGAUGAAGGGAGCUUGCUCCUGGAUUCAGCGGCGAACGGGUGAGUAAUGCCUAGGAAUCUGCCUGGUAGUGGGGGAUAACGUCCGGAAACGGGCGCUAAUACCGCAUACGUCCUGAGGGAGAAAGUGGGGGAUCUUCGGACCUCACGCUAUCAGAUGAGCCUAGGUCGGAUUAGCUAGUUGGUGCGGUAAAGGCCUACCAAGGCGACGAUCCGUAACUGGUCUGAGAGGAUGAUCAGUCACACUGGAACUGAGACACGGUCCAGACUCCUACGGGAGGCAGCAGUGGGGAAUAUUGGACAAUGGGCGAAAGCCUGAUCCAGCCAUGCCGCGUGCGUGAAGAAGGUCUUCGGAUUGUAAAGCACUUUAAGUUGGGAGGAAGGGCAGUAAGUUAAUACCUUGCUGUUUUGACGUUACCAACAGAAUAAGCACCGGCUAACUUCGUG